GCAUUGGUGGUUCGGUGGUAGAAUUCUUGCCUGUCACGCGGGAGACCUGGGUCCGAUUCCCAGCCAAUGCA
Sinocyclocheilus rhinocerous is the source of this 71-nucleotide non-coding RNA. The record is from the annotation of a RefSeq genome assembly. Lineage: Eukaryota; Metazoa; Chordata; Actinopteri; Cypriniformes; Cyprinidae.